Molecule: ribosomal RNA, 208 nt
Filed under: uncultured bacterium
Lineage: Bacteria
Description: partial 16S ribosomal RNA
Rfam family: Bacterial small subunit ribosomal RNA
Source: RNAcentral
AGCGUAGACGGUAAAGCAAGUCUGAAGUGAAAGCCCGGGGCUCAACCCCGGGACUGCUUUGGAAACUGUUUAACUAGAGUGCUGGAGAGGUAAGCGGAAUUCCUAGUGUAGCGGUGAAAUGCGUAGAUAUUAGGAGGAACACCAGUGGCGAAGGCGGCUUACUGGACAGUAACUGACGUUGAGGCUCGAAAGCGUGGGGAGCAAACAG